GUUGGCGAUAUAUUGUCAGUGUUUUAGAGAAAUCGUUAAGUGAUCCACCUGGGGAGUACGUUCGCAAGAAUGAAACUCAAAGGAAUUGACGGGGGCCCGCACAAGCGGAGGAGCAUGUGGUUUAAUUCGAUGAUACGCGAGGAACCUUACCAAGACUUAAAUGUAUUUUGACAGGUUGAGAAAUCAACUUUUCUUCGGACAAUUUACAAGGUGCUGCAUGGUUGUCGUCAGCUCGUGCCGUGAGGUGUCGGGUUAAGUCCCAUAACGAGCGCAACCCCUAUUUUUAGUUACCAGCGAGUCAUGUCGGGAACUCUAGAAAGACUGCCUGUGUAAACAGUGAGGAAGGUGGGGAUGACGUCAAAUCAUCACGGCCCUUAUGUCUUGGGCUACACACGUGCUACAAUGGUCACUACAGUGGGCUGCCAUCUGGCAACAGAGAGCAAAUCCAUAAAGGUGAUCCCAGUUCGGAUCGGAGUCUGCAACUCGACUCUGUGAAGUUGGAUUCGCUAGUAAUCGUAUAUCAGCAAUGAUACGGUGAAUACGUUCCCGGGCCUUGUACACACCGCCCGUCAAGCCAUGGAAGUUUGUGGUGCCUGAAGUCAGUAACCGUAAGGAUCUGCCUAGGGUAAAACAGAUAACUAGGGCU
RNAcentral lists this ribosomal RNA (646 nucleotides) under uncultured marine bacterium. RNAcentral's name for it is "bacterial SSU rRNA". It matches the Rfam family "Bacterial small subunit ribosomal RNA", at positions 822 to 1482 of the family's 1533-position model. The record is from RNAcentral.